CUUCAGGGUCGGGUGAAAUUCCCAAUCGGCGGUAUACCCCGCAAGCCAAGGAUGGCAGGAACCGGUGAAACUCCGGUGGCGACAGUAAAGUCUGGAUGGAAGAAGUU
RNAcentral lists this non-coding RNA (107 nucleotides) under human gut metagenome. RNAcentral's name for it is "FMN riboswitch (RFN element)". It matches the Rfam family "FMN riboswitch aptamer (RFN element)". Rfam says of the family: The RFN element is a highly conserved domain that is found frequently in the 5'-untranslated regions of prokaryotic mRNAs that encode for flavin mononucleotide (FMN) biosynthesis and transport proteins. This element is a metabolite-dependent riboswitch that directly binds FMN in the absence of proteins. The record is from RNAcentral.